RNA transcript from Drosophila pseudoobscura, 4542 nucleotides. It is a transcript of the gene named microfibril-associated glycoprotein 4, with no coding region annotated. The transcript has 5 exons. Lineage: Eukaryota; Metazoa; Arthropoda; Insecta; Diptera; Drosophilidae. The record is from RefSeq and is a predicted model, not a curated record.
UCUCAUUCCCAUCCCCAUCCGAGCAUGCUUUGGAUUGCCCCAAUAAACUGUCAUCAAGUUAAUUGCCCCAAAUGUCCGUAUAAACAAGGGCGUGUGUGUCUGUUAUGUUCCCCCGAUCUCAAGCGGGAGGAAUGGACAUCGAAUCAAGUUGAAUCAAAUCGCGGGAAUCAUCACCAUUCCGUUCUUUACGGCAUUCCACUCGCGGCACACGCACACACAAAAGCCGACAAAUUGCCAUUGGACGGGACUGUCCAAAAUGUAUAUCCAUUAUCUGUAUGGGUUUUCCUCUUCCAAAAAAAUGUUUGCUUAAAAUAGAAGUACCCUGUGCAAGGGUAUAUAACCAAACACAAAGUCAGAUCAAAAUUUCAUUGCUGCACUUGUUGUAGUAGUAAUUGUUGCUGCCGCUGCUGUUGCUGGGGAUGAGGUUUAUUAAAAUGCGGUUUUCAGCCCCGUCGCACAGUGCUUAAAUAACUAACGCAAACACAUGACGAUGAGUGGAGAGGAGAGAGGAGAGCAAUGCAAAGUGAAGCCGCGACAGCAACGCCACUCAAUGACAACAACGGUGUUGGGUUCGGCACUUUGCAUACACUUAUACACCCAAACGCAUGUGACAACAACAAGAAUGAUGUAAACCAACUCAAACACGAGCCGUGAGUGAGUCAUCCAUCCUCCCACCCCCCACAUGCUCCGAGUUGAAUUGAGGAAGCAAAAGGCCAACCGUCUCUCAGCAUGAGGGAAUUGCAGUUAAAGUGAGGACACGAUCCACAUAUCAUUAUGGAAAGGAGGGACUCUUUAAGUCCCUUGCGGCCGAGUCUCUACUGUGCUUUCACAAUUCAGUUCCAGCUUGCACAAGGAAGUAUCCCGCAUAAAUCAGAGAAUCAACGAGAGAGAGUAAAUAUAAUCGUUACAGCUACGUGCCAAUCAAACUUCAAUGUGGGGGAAUGAAUGAUGCAGUCCACAAAACAUGCACGGCAACAACCACAUUUGGCUGACAAAUGGCCGCCCGCAAGGCUGACAAAAGCUCUCCCGGUCAGGCGGUACUCGCGGCCCUCUCCCCUUCCAUACGAUCUAUUCAUGUGUCAUUCCAGCAGCACUCGAUAUGCAUGUAUAUAUGUAUACACCUUUUUAUGCUCUGACCGUGAUUUUUACGUGUAUACGUGUAUUUGUAUCUGUGUGAACAGAGGGGAUAAUAGGCUCAACAAUAGACUGGCAGUCUCCUGUCCUGCCUUACCCCCCGCCAAUGACAUUGAACUCUCGUCUGAGUGACGGCGGCGGCUGGUGCUACUGCUGGUGGGGCCUUUUGAGACUCUUUCCUGCCAACUCUGAUGGCCAUACAAUUAUUCAGCUGCAAAGAGUAUUCGACAUUUCAACGGAAAGGAGUCCAAUUUUUGAAUCACUGUUGGGUGUACUUCUCGGUCUCAUCAAAUUGAGCGUUUCCCUGACAAAUAAGAUUCGCAGCUCUGGAAAAAAGUGUAAACCCACCCCUAAAUGUACAUAUGUAUGCAGUUUCGCGGCAGAGCAGACGGCGUGCAAUGUACUCUUUGUAGGUCAGUGAUGGGGCUGCUUGGGGCUGGGGUGUGGUAUGCAUGGGUAUGCCUGGUUCUGGUUGCAGACGACGUCGCCACCGCUUUCGUCAUGCGUCGCGUGCCAGGCGUUUUGCUUAAUGUGAUUAAAACAAACGCGACAGACAGCCAACAAACAAGUAAAGUGCAGUCGGUGCUAAAAGAAAAAUCAAAGAAGCUAAAGUUUGUUGCACCCUUACGAAACGUUGGUUGGGUAGGGAGCCAGAUCUAAAACGUUUUUUAUGUUCCUUUGCACUCGGCAAAUCCUAACGGACAACUAGAACUUGCAUUCAAAUGUAGGCGCAUAUAAUUGACUGGGUGCUAUUUGGUUAGAGGGCUAUAAGAUAAGGAACCCCAUUCUCUGGUUCCCUGGCUUGCAUUCCAUAAUUUAUGAUAUCUUAUACCGUUGCUGCUAGGCCAGAGAGAUAAGCUUUAUCAAUAACUCUACAAUUUGCAAAUACAGCUGCUCUGCAUAUUGGUGUAUGUACAUGAAUAUGUGUACGAACAUGAGAAUGUGUGAAUGUAUGCAAAGAACGGGUUAAACAAACAAACUUACCUUGAAGCGGGUUUCGGAUUUAAGUUGUUGCUGCUUUCUGAGUGAAAUUCUCGUCCGAUUCGAUUGUCGGCGAUUUGAUAUUAGUUAAUUCUAUUUGUCAUAGAGGGAAGGGAAGUGUAGAAUACAGGUUCCAAAAGAGUUUUCAGAAGACGCGGGCUUCUCUUUCACGCAGGAAUUUGUAAUGUGUUUUGUGCAAACGGAUGAUCGCGAAUAAAUGCAAAGGUUUAGUGUAAGAGAAGCCGAAAAAAACUACAAUAAAUAACAAAUUUGACUAUUUUUUUGUGGUUUUACACAAACACACGCACACUACACCAGAACUCUCACUCACACCACGCACACAACCACAUAAAGAGCAAUCAGCGCCUAGAUUUGUAUUAUUACUUCGUUUCCCGCUGCUCGUUUUCUUAGCACAUUUCGCUAUGAUUGUUGCCUGGGCGAGGGACUAACGCUGCAACAUUUUUAUAAUCUGCGAAUCUAUGGAUUUUCGUUGCAAACUUCGAGAAGCAACAAAAUUUACUUGACUUGGCUGCUAGAGAUGGACUGUGGAAAAAUUUCACGAGCUUCCCUGUGAUAUUUCACUAUCGAGUGCUAGAGCUGUCGAUCAGCUGUCGCGACUUAUCAAAGCACUGCCAACUCAAUUGAGAAACAAAUGAAGUAAUCUUUAUAUUAUAUUUGUGUGGGGAGAUUUUCCCGUGGACGGCCGUUUUGAAGAUCGGCGGCGCCCUUUGCUGUAGCCCACUACUCCCCCUGCCUCAGCCCCUAGACCACCCCAGAGAUGCUCUACACGGACUGUUUAUCAACAAAUAAGUGGCACAAGAGCAAAUCGCUGAAACUGCCCUGGAAACUGGGACCCACACUGGCUACCGGCAACACCAUCGUCCUAAAGCCAGCCGAUGGCUGGUUUCGGUAAAGCCGGCGCUGCCCUGGCCAAUCACGCAGAUGUCGAUAAGGACGUGCCCCAGCUAUGACAGACUGCCCGAAUAUGCCGCUGCCGGUGUCCAGCCAUGGGGAAGCUCUCUCUCCUAUUCAGCUGGGCUCUAAAACAUUGCAUCUUUUAGCUUCGGGCCCGAGUCGCUUGCAAUGAGCGUGUGAAGCUGGCCUGCAAGCUGGUAGAAGUCAGCGCUGGCCCUGGACCAACAGUCCGAUAUGAUCUACUAUGCCCAUGGCAAGUGAAUCGAUGGAAAGAACAAAAAAACCCUUGUUUCCAUGCACAUCUCGCAAGUUAUCUUGCAUUGCCGCCUGGGGGGGUUUUGUGUACUGUCUGGACGACAAGACCUGACUGGAGAAAGAGCGUUGUUCCGCGGAGCUGUAGCGUAUGCAGCAGAUCACCGACAUCACUGCCGUGUGGACAACGGAUGCACAGUCGCACCAAGUGCUCCAAGCAUCUGAUGCUGCUGGAGGACAAGGCGCGUAUCCGGCCUAUGAGCCAGAUCAUUUCACGUGCGCGGCCCCAGUGGCGGGGAAUAGUGACAUGAACAAGGACUGCAUACCCGCCUCCUGACGCUGUGACGGCCAAAAGGACUGCCCAGACAAGUCGGAUGAGGUGGGCUGUCCCACCUGCCGGGUGGAUCAGUUCAGCUGCCAGUCCGGCGAGUGCAUCCACAAGGCCCUGGCCUGCGAUGGUACCACCAACUGUGACAACGGCCACGAUGAGGUCGACUGCUGCAAGCGGCUAGGAGAAUUUCAGUCUCCCAUCAACAAGUAAAGCACGCCGUCAAGCAUGCCCUUUUAAAGAAUUUAAAAAUUCAAUAGAGAACCUGCUGGACAUUGCAUUCGAGGUGCAACGCGACCAAGCUGCGGAUGAAGAUGGAGCGAAAAGACUCUGGACGAGUGUGCCAGGUUACCACCUUCCACAAUGCCGUCUACAAGGACCCCAGGUCCGAAGACGAUACUGCAGCGGAGUAUAAUCCGGUGAAACAGUCCAAGAGCUCGAGAGGCAUCGGGAUCUGUGUGCGUCGGACCAGACAGCUCGCCUACUUGCGUACCCAGCCGCGAGUAAAGUGAGGAGCUCAGCUAAAGGUUGAGCUGGCCAACGAUGUCUGCUGAAACAGUAUCUUCAUAUUAAAAUAACGAAAUAGGAAAUACAAAGGCCUAUACUACGGCUUACACGCAACAUUUCUUCAAAUACCAGCAACAUGGCGACUGUUUUUGUUGAACUAUUUUGUUUAAACAUUGUUUUAGUCAAAAUACAAUACAAAAGCCAGGACUAAAAACUAACCAAUCUUGUAGAAAAUGUAUUCAUAAACGGCCAAAAAUUAUGUGGGCAGAACUAAUGGAACUAAUAGAAUUAAUCAACGGAAUCUCUAAAUUGAGCAAUAUGAACGACUAUUCUCUUUCGUUUUUUUUUUUUUUACCUUUUUCGCUAAAACCAGUUUUUAGGCUAAAUCCAAUAAAAGAAAGUAUUCAAAAAAUGCCAGUCAACUA